AUUAACAGGAUUAGAUACCCUGGUAGUCCACGCUGUAAACGAUGUCGAUUUGGAGGUUGUGCCCUUGAGGCGUGGCUUCCGGAGCUAACGCGUUAAAUCGACCGCCUGGGGAGUACGGCCGCAAGGUUAAAACUCAAAUGAAUUGACGGGGGCCCGCACAAGCGGUGGAGCAUGUGGUUUAAUUCGAUGCAACGCGAAGAACCUUACCUACUCUUGACAUCCAGAGAACUUUCCAGAGAUGGAUUGGUGCCUUCGGGAACUCUGAGACAGGUGCUGCAUGGCUGUCGUCAGCUCGUGUUGUGAAAUGUUGGGUUAAGUCCCGCAACGAGCGCAACCCUUAUCCUUUGUUGCCAGCGGUUCGGCCGGGAACUCAAAGGAGACUGCCAGUGAUAAACUGGAGGAAGGUGGGGAUGACGUCAAGUCAUCAUGGCCCUUACGAGUAGGGCUACACACGUGCUACAAUGGCGUAUACAAAGAGAAGCGACCUCGCGAGAGCAAGCGGACCUCAUAAAGUACGUCGUAGUCCGGAUUGGAGUCUGCAACUCGACUCCAUGAAGUCGGAAUCGCUAGUAAUCGUAGAUCAGAAUGCUACGGUGAAUACGUUCCCGGGCCUUGUACACACCGCCCGUCACACCAUGGGAGUGGGUUGCAAAGGAAGUAGGUAGCUUAACCUUCGGGAGGGCGCUUACCACUUUGUGAUUCAUGACUGGGGUGAAGUCGUAACAAGGUAGCCAAU
This 736-nucleotide ribosomal RNA is filed under the name uncultured bacterium. RNAcentral describes it as "bacterial SSU rRNA". It matches the Rfam family "Bacterial small subunit ribosomal RNA", at positions 768 to 1504 of the family's 1533-position model. The record is from RNAcentral.